This 69-nucleotide transfer RNA is filed under the name Succinea putris (European ambersnail). Its description in RNAcentral is "tRNA-Thr". Lineage: Eukaryota; Metazoa; Mollusca; Gastropoda; Stylommatophora; Succineidae. The record is from RNAcentral.
UUAUUAAUAGUUUAUAAAAAAACAUUGUAUUUGUAAUACAAAUAAGUAGCAGUAUUUCUACUUAAUAAA